UACGUAGGGUGCGAGCGUUGUCCGGAAUUAUUGGGCGUAAAGGGGUCGUAGGCGGUUUGUCGCGUCGGGAGUGAAAACCUCGGGCUUAACUCGGGGCUUGCUUUCGAUACGGGCAGACUGGAGGUAUGCAGGGGAGAACGGAAUUCCUGGUGUAGCGGUGAAAUGCGCAGAUAUCAGGAGGAACACCGGUGGCGAAGGCGGUUCUCUGGGCAUGACCUGACGCUGAGGAGCGAAAGUGUGGGGAGCGAACAGG
RNAcentral lists this ribosomal RNA (253 nucleotides) under uncultured bacterium. Its description in RNAcentral is "partial 16S ribosomal RNA". It matches the Rfam family "Bacterial small subunit ribosomal RNA", at positions 524 to 776 of the family's 1533-position model. The record is from RNAcentral.